GACGGGGGGGGCAAGCGUUGUUCGGAAUUAUUGGGCGUAAAGGGCGCGUAGGCGGUUUGGCAAGUUUGGUGUGAAAUCUUCGGGCUCAACUCGAAGUCUGCACCGAAAACUGCCGGGCUUGAGUAUGGGAGAGGUGGGUGGAAUUUCCGGUGUAGCGGUGAAAUGCGUAGAUAUCGGAAGGAACACCUGUGGCGAAAGCGGCUCACUGGACCAUUACUGACGCUGAGGCGCGAAAGCGUGGGGAGCAAACAGG
This 253-nucleotide ribosomal RNA is filed under the name uncultured bacterium. Its description in RNAcentral is "partial 16S ribosomal RNA". It matches the Rfam family "Bacterial small subunit ribosomal RNA", at positions 524 to 776 of the family's 1533-position model. The record is from RNAcentral.